AACGCACCUUGCGCUCCUUGGUAUUCCGAGGAGCAUGCCUGUUUGAGUGUCAUGGAAUUCUCAACCUUUGAAAGCUUUUAUCGGUUCUCAAAGGCUUGGACUUGGAGGUCGUGUCGGCUCUGCAAAGAAUAUCGACUCCUCUGAAACGUAUCAGUGCGAACCUUUACGGAUCGUCUUCGGUGUGAUAAACGUCUGCGCCGUGGUCGUGAAGUAACAUAAGCUGACGCUUCUAACCGUCCUUCAGUUGGACAACAUUAUAUGACAUCUGACCUCAAAUCAGGUAGGACUACCCGCUGAACCUAA
RNAcentral lists this ribosomal RNA (303 nucleotides) under uncultured fungus. RNAcentral's name for it is "eukaryotic LSU rRNA". The stretch from base 1 to 52 matches the Rfam family "5.8S ribosomal RNA", at positions 103 to 154 of the family's 154-position model. Lineage: Eukaryota; Fungi. The record is from RNAcentral.